RNAcentral lists this ribosomal RNA (274 nucleotides) under uncultured bacterium. Its description in RNAcentral is "partial 16S ribosomal RNA". It matches the Rfam family "Bacterial small subunit ribosomal RNA", at positions 523 to 796 of the family's 1533-position model. The record is from RNAcentral.
AUACGGAGGGUGCAAGCGUUAUUCGGAAUUACUGGGCGUAAAGCGUACGUAGGCGGUUGGUUAAGUUAGAUGUGAAAGCCCCGGGCUUAACCUGGGAACUGCAUUUAAAACUGGCGAACUAGAGUUGAGUAGAGGGGAGUGGAAUUUCAGGUGUAGCGGUGAAAUGCGUAGAGAUCUGAAGGAACACCAGUGGCGAAGGCGACUCCCUGGACUCGAACUGACGCUGAGGUACGAAAGCGUGGGUAGCAAACGGGAUUAGAAACCCUAGUAGUCC